Molecule: long non-coding RNA, 607 nt
Organism: Tyto alba (common barn owl)
Lineage: Eukaryota; Metazoa; Chordata; Aves; Strigiformes; Tytonidae
Exons: 2
Source: RefSeq, a predicted model, not a curated record
CCGGCCCCUCAGGCCCUGCUGGCCGCUGGGGAAGGCGGCGGGGCCAGGCCCGGCCGCUGCCAGAGAGCGAGGCAAAGAGCGUAAACAGGUUGUGGCGCUGCCCGUGUGGGAGGCGGCGCCUGGGGAGACCCUGGCAGGCACGGCGCAGGAGGGGCGGGCCUGUUGCUUUAGACGGAACGACGGCUGUGCCGGGAGGGCAGCGAGCACCCGCCUGCCGUUUCGUCUGACAGCGCGGUUAAGUACGCUGGGUGACACUGUAAACCUGCAUCUGCAAAGUGCAAGCAACGCGCCCGCCUCUCAUCACCACAUCUACUUAGGAUAUCUGUUUUGAAGAGCUUGAUAGUAAAUGCGCAGUCUACCGUACAGGCAUGAAGAGCUGCUUCUUGUACUUCCUUCCGAUGCUUCUCAUCAUCACUCUUUAGUCACCUGCCUGCUGAAUAAAUCUCAUCAUGAAAGACUGAGCAUGGGCUAGAGCAACAGACUUCUAAGGUGCUUUUUGGAUUCAGUACAUUACCAGAAGAUAAAAGCAAAAGUCAGUAUUAAAUAUUUGAUGCAAAUAACAAGAGAUAUGACCGAUAACUUUAUCAGUAUAGGAAAAAAAGAAAAA